This 67-nucleotide transfer RNA is filed under the name Eulemur macaco macaco. Its description in RNAcentral is "tRNA-Tyr". It matches the Rfam family "tRNA". Rfam says of the family: Transfer RNA (tRNA) molecules are approximately 80 nucleotides in length. Their secondary structure includes four short double-helical elements and three loops (D, anti-codon, and T loops). The record is from RNAcentral. Lineage: Eukaryota; Metazoa; Chordata; Mammalia; Primates; Lemuridae.
GAUAGAAUGGCUGAGUAAAGCAUUAGACUGUAAAUCUAAAGACAGAGGUGGUCCCCUCUUUCUAUCA